RNAcentral lists this ribosomal RNA (468 nucleotides) under uncultured bacterium. RNAcentral's name for it is "partial 16S ribosomal RNA". It matches the Rfam family "Bacterial small subunit ribosomal RNA", at positions 28 to 507 of the family's 1533-position model. The record is from RNAcentral.
GACGAACGCUGGCGGCGUGCUUAACACAUGCAAGUCGAACGGAAAGGCCCUGCUUUUGUGGGGUGCUCGAGUGGCGAACGGGUGAGUAACACGUGAGUAACCUGCCCUUGACUUUGGGAUAACUUCAGGAAACUGGGGCUAAUACCGGAUAGGAGCUCCUGCUGCAUGGUGGGGGUUGGAAAGUUUCGGCGGUUGGGGAUGGACUCGCGGCUUAUCAGCUUGUUGGUGGGGUAGUGGCUUACCAAGGCUUUGACGGGUAGCCGGCCUGAGAGGGUGACCGGGCAAAUUGGGAAUGAGAUAACGCCCAGACUCCUACGGGAGGCAGCAGUGGGGAAUAUUGCACAAUGGGCGGAAGCCUGAUGCAGCAACGCCGCGUGCGGGAUGACGGCCUUCGGGUUGUAAACCGCUUUCGCCUGUGACGAAGCGUGAGUGACGGUAAUGGGUAAAGAAGCACCGGCUAACUACGUG